Molecule: ribosomal RNA, 967 nt
Filed under: uncultured bacterium
Lineage: Bacteria
Description: bacterial SSU rRNA
Rfam family: Bacterial small subunit ribosomal RNA
Source: RNAcentral
GGGGUGCGUGUCGGGAUUAUUGGGCGUAAGAGCUUGUAGGCGGUUUGUCGCGUCUGCUGUGAAAAUCCGGGGCUCAACCCCGGACUUGCAGUGGGUACGGGCAGGCUAGAGUGUGGUAGGGGAGACUGGAAUUCCUGGUGUAGCGGUGAAAUGCGCAGAUAUCAGGAGGAACGCCGAUGGCGAAGGCAGGUCUCUGGGCCACUACUGACGCUGAGAAGCGAAAGCAUGGGGAGCGAACAGGAUUAGAUACCCUGGUAGUCCAUGCCGUAAACGUUGGGAACUAGGUGUGGGUCUCAUUCCACGAGAUCCGUGCCGCAGCUAACGCAUUAAGUUCCCCGCCUGGGGAGUACGGCCGCAAGGCUAAAACUCAAAGGAAUUGACGGGGGCCCGCACAAGCGGCGGAGCAUGCGGAUUAAUUCGAUGCAACGCGAAGAACCUUACCAAGGCUUGACAUACACCGGAAACGUCCAGAGAUGGGCGCCCCGCAAGGUCGGUGUACAGGUGGUGCAUGGUUGUCGUCAGCUCGUGUCGUGAGAUGUUGGGUUAAGUCCCGCAACGAGCGCAACCCUCGUUCUAUGUUGCCAGCGCGUAAUGGCGGGGACUCAUAGGAGACUGCCGGGGUCAACUCGGAGGAAGGUGGGGAUGACGUCAAAUCAUCAUGCCCCUUAUGUCUUGGGCUUCACGCAUGCUACAAUGGCCGGUACAAAGGGCUGCGAUACCGCGAGGUGGAGCGAAUCCCAGAAAACCGGUCUCAGUUCGGAUUGGGGUCUGCAACUCGACCCCAUGAAGUCGGAGUCGCUAGUAAUCGCAGAUCGGCAACGCUGCGGUGAAUACGUUCCCGGGCCUUGUACACACCGCCCGUCAAGUCACGAAAGUCGGUAACACCCGAAGCCGGUGGCCCAACUCGCAAGAGGGGGAGCCGUCGAAGUGGGACUGGCGAUUGGGACUAAGUCGUAACAAGGUAACC